Molecule: long non-coding RNA, 187 nt
Organism: Tympanuchus pallidicinctus (lesser prairie-chicken)
Lineage: Eukaryota; Metazoa; Chordata; Aves; Galliformes; Phasianidae
Exons: 3
Source: RefSeq, a predicted model, not a curated record
CCCCAAUGUGAGGCUGAACCCCAAAGUGAUGCUGAACCCCACAGUGAUGCUGAACCUCUAAGAGGAACUGAACCCCAAUGUGAUGCUGAACCCCACAGUGAUGCUGCGUCCCAAAGCAGUGCUGUACCCCAAAAUGGAACUGCAACCAAAGUGAUGCUGAGCCCCAAAGUGAUUGGUAUGAACCCCA